This 73-nucleotide transfer RNA is filed under the name Gemmatimonadaceae bacterium. It matches the Rfam family "tRNA". Rfam says of the family: Transfer RNA (tRNA) molecules are approximately 80 nucleotides in length. Lineage: Bacteria; Pseudomonadati; Gemmatimonadota; Gemmatimonadia; Gemmatimonadales; Gemmatimonadaceae. RNAcentral also lists the same sequence under 2 other names. The record is from Rfam by way of RNAcentral.
GGCCCGUUCGUCUAUCGGUUCAGGACGGCACCCUUUCACGGUGCAGAGACGGGUUCGACUCCCGUACGGGCUA